GCCCAGACAUGGUGAAUGGGUGGUGGUAGCGUGGGCACUACUGCAACAAAUGGAGUUUCUACUGAGAUCUGAGAAAGAAGGGAUGUCACUGAUGGACACCCGAAAGGACAGUGAGGUGCCUUUUUGGGUUCCUGAGUGCUGUGUGUGCCCUGUGGCUGCUGCUGAAUCCCAACAUGGCAGAGACCUAUUGAACCUUCGUGAAAAACUCUCCCCUUCUGAUGCCAAUGGGGAUUGAGAGCCUAAUACGGCCAGCCUUGGCAAGCAUUAAUGUAAGGCUAGGAACUGUAGCCAUGUGUUCGGAUUCUUCAGAAGUUGUUCUUUUGCAGAGCUGCCAGCUUAAGUCAUGCUGGGAUCAAGAAAAAUGGGCCUUGGUGGUUCGUGUUCCUGGAGCUGCAUCCAUGCCAGUGGACCAUGGCAGUUAGACACAGAUGAUGCUCACACACUCCAGAAGAGAAUCUGACAUCGCUGUUGCCCUUGUUGCUGUUAUAGCGGUGGUGGCCACUGCUGCUACUGUUUCUGGGAUUGCUAUUUCAUAAUUGGUUACUACAGCUAGCACAAUGGAGACCCUGGCAGCAAAAGUAGCUACCACAGUUAAUUAAUCUUUCAUUCUAUUGGGCAUGAUAAAUUUAAUUCAAGAGUUAUAUACAUUUCAAUUGGCUUUGAAAGUUGUAAAAUUAAUAAAACUCAAGUUCCACUUGCCUAUGGGAUACCACCUUACAAGGACUCCAAUUUGCAGUAAGGCUCGUUAAGGAAGGGAAUGAUUCAAUUGCCUUUAACCUACCGGCUAUGGGUACGUUAGGACUUCUGUUGGUCUUUCUGUGUUGCACAGAUUGCAAGCCUAGUGCCAUUUUGAGAUCUUUGGCAGCAGUUAACUCUACAGCUCACGUGGUUCAGUCUGUAUGAUAAUGAGUAUGCAGAGAUGGGUAAUGCCUUGGGGGUGGUUACCAACCUAAGGCAGAGCACCUGUGUGGCCUGGGCAGGUGUCUCCAUGAUGGGUCAGGUGACCUGCUGACGUCCCAUGCAACCUAAGUCAGAAGCUCAUUUUUUAGUAAAAAGGGGGGACCUGUAGGGCCCUGGCCCCCCAAUGUGAGUAGCUGCCACCUUGCUUGCUGACCUCGACCAGAUGUCCUCCCUAUGCUGAUUCCCUGCUGGUUUCCUUCUUACUGAAUGCUCACCGGAGGUUCUUUGUUCAUGUAUCCUGCAUUUGGUGUAAACAGCUUAGAUGCAAGAAUGUAGAACAUUGGGUAGCAAACUUCUGCCCUCUGGGAAUCCUCCAUUGUGCUAUAAGCCUGUA
Molecule: long non-coding RNA, 1294 nt
Organism: Peromyscus californicus insignis
Lineage: Eukaryota; Metazoa; Chordata; Mammalia; Rodentia; Cricetidae
Exons: 3
Source: RefSeq, a predicted model, not a curated record